This 117-nucleotide ribosomal RNA is filed under the name Sinocyclocheilus anshuiensis. The record is from RNAcentral. Lineage: Eukaryota; Metazoa; Chordata; Actinopteri; Cypriniformes; Cyprinidae.
GCCGGCAGCCAUAUCACCCUGUAGCCCAAGACUGGUUGCCCACUGAAGUUAAGCAGGGCUGAGCCUGGUCAGUACCUGGAUGGGAGACCUCCUGAGAAAACUAGGUUGCUGCUGGAA